GAUAUGGUAAUGCUAUCCACAAAUGAAGACAAGGCAAAGUCAGCAAAAAAAGUCUCCAGAACGAGAGGUUAAGGCUCACCAGAAUGGCUCUAAGAGCAAUGACCCCCUAGAAGGCCUUGUUAAUGAAAUAAAUGGAUAUCUGAAAAAGGGUGGUCCUGCAAGCCAGCUGAAGUCGUUCUUGGGUUCUCUCUCUGGGACGCCUCAAGAAGUCAUUAAUGCGCUGUUUGCUGCUCUCUUUGGAGGUGUUGAAAAAGGGUUUGCCAAGGAGGUGACUAAAAAAAGGAACUACCUGGCAGCAGCAACUCAAGAGGAGGGAUCACAGAUGCUUC
This 329-nucleotide unclassified non-coding RNA is filed under the name Hevea brasiliensis (rubber tree). The record is from RNAcentral. Lineage: Eukaryota; Viridiplantae; Streptophyta; Magnoliopsida; Malpighiales; Euphorbiaceae.